AGCUUCUGCUAGUGUUUAGGUACUAGUGCAGUGUAGAACCCUUUUCUCAGGCAAAACCUAACAUCUGACCGCACCCUUUUUGCUAUUAAAAAAAAAAAAAAGCUUCUAUUUUUUUCCUCCUGUCGUUAAGAUAAAUUCUCCAGUAGACAACCUCUCCCACUAAUUGUGUAUUAGCAACGUAUUUUAUCUUGAGAGCUUGUACACUGGGCUCUCAACGUGGUGUGGAAGGUAGCCUGUUACAGUGCUGGAUUCAUAAAAGGGCCUUUAUGGUUUGUGAAAGAAUAUCUGUGUGCUUAGGGAGGAAACUUUUUGAUCUGCAGAAAAGCCAGAAGACAUCUAGGACAUCCAUAAAAAUUCAUCAGAGAGCAUUUUACUACUGAGCUGCAAAGGUAGGAAAAAUAAAUUUUUUUUGGUUAGAAAAUAUACUUCUUUCAUCUGCGUUUCAAUAAUUUAUUCCCCUUGUUAGAUAUACAUGGAAUUGAUAUUGCUUAUUCUGACUAAGUGAAAAGUGUUAUUUCUACUUACUGCUCAAUUAGAAACAUGUAGUGUUUAAUUGUCAGUUUGAAUUUUUCUUUCAUACUAUUACAGUUUAUAUUUUACUAUAGGCAGAAUUUCCUCUUUAUCCUAAAUUUUGAUAUUCUCCAUAAUUUCAUCGUGCCUUGACAUUGCUGUAUAUAAUUUCUAUACAUCAGGAAGGCAAUUCUGUGUGCAUGUGUGUGUGUAUAUAUAUAGUUAGAAGUUAGAAA
RNAcentral lists this long non-coding RNA (746 nucleotides) under Homo sapiens (human). RNAcentral's name for it is "HSALNT0403129". Lineage: Eukaryota; Metazoa; Chordata; Mammalia; Primates; Hominidae. The record is from RNAcentral.